Molecule: transfer RNA, 87 nt
Filed under: Rhodospirillaceae bacterium
Lineage: Bacteria; Pseudomonadati; Pseudomonadota; Alphaproteobacteria; Rhodospirillales; Rhodospirillaceae
Also listed under: 3 other names
Description: tRNA-Leu
Rfam family: tRNA
About the family: Transfer RNA (tRNA) molecules are approximately 80 nucleotides in length. Their secondary structure includes four short double-helical elements and three loops (D, anti-codon, and T loops). Further hydrogen bonds mediate the characteristic L-shaped molecular structure. tRNAs have two regions of fundamental functional importance: the anti-codon, which is responsible for specific mRNA codon recognition, and the 3' end, to which the tRNAs corresponding amino acid is attached (by aminoacyl-tRNA synthetases). tRNAs cope with the degeneracy of the genetic code in two manners: having more than one tRNA (with a specific anti-codon) for a particular amino acid; and 'wobble' base-pairing, i.e. permitting non-standard base-pairing at the 3rd anti-codon position.
Source: RNAcentral
GCGGUCGUGGCGGAACUGGUAGACGCGCUAGCUUGAGGUGCUAGUUCCCGAAAGGGAGUGGAAGUUCGAGUCUUCUCGACCGCACCA